RNAcentral lists this long non-coding RNA (1274 nucleotides) under Zea mays. RNAcentral's name for it is "long non-coding RNA (ZMAY_LNC002929)". The record is from RNAcentral. Lineage: Eukaryota; Viridiplantae; Streptophyta; Magnoliopsida; Poales; Poaceae.
UUAUACAACCAGUGGCACGGAACCAACUUUCUAGACAAGCACAAUCAGAAGUAGUAGUAGAAACGCAGGUUAUAGAAGAACCAGAAGUAGUAGAAAAACCAGCUAGCAAUGCAAAUGGCUUACAAAAUAGGUUCAGGUUCACUUGCUAUUGUUGAUGAAGAUAUGAGAGACUAGGGAGAACCAGACCACUAGUGAGGUAUUUUCCAACCACUUUCAUGCUUCCAUCAAUUAUGUUGGGGAUUUAAGCAUGGGAUUGAGAUACCAUCUAAGCUUAUGCAUUUAUAAGCUAGUUUUGUUAUUAUAUGUAUUACACCCGGUGCGGAUGGUACGUGCUUUGAUAGUGGCCCUAGGCGUGAAAAUUGACGAGCUCUCCCACUGUUUUUAUUCGGAUCUGCAUUUAUUAUGCCUACUAACUUUGAUUCUUUUGCAAAAAUUGUUGGGUGUACAUGUGUACACACAUCUCCUUUACUGGGUCAGCCCUUGGAUCCUAGGCUAUGCAUACCAAUUGAGCAAAUGCAUUUGAUGAUUUGCUGAAUCUUGACACUAGUUAGGAUUUCUUUUGUAGCACCUGGAGCAUUUAUCAACUAUGUUGUUCAAUUAAGCCUACAGUUGAGAUGUAGUCUAAAUCUUGCAUAUUUUAUUUUUCUAUUCCCUCCAUUGCAUAUUAUAAGAUAUUUUGGCUUUUUUAAUAUGUAGUUUUUGCAACAUACUUAGAUAUACAUUAUGUCAGAUACAUAGUAAAACAAUGUAUGUAGGAAAAAGCCAAAACAUAUUAUAAUUUUGAACAGAGGGAGUACUAUUAACUAUGGUUGUGUGCCCUAGUUUAGGUGUUUUAAGUUCUUAGAUAUUGGCACUAGGCAUGCAGAUUCACUAGCUUCGUCGCUAUCUCUAGUGAGUUCAAUGUCUAUGGAGCACACUUCACAUUGGAAUAGAAGUGUUGAACCAAUCCCCUAAAACAGACUGAAAUUCCCACCACCUUGCCACAUAAGCUCAAAUUUCCCAUGUUGAGUGGGGAUUCUCCAACCUGAACUUCACUUUAUGCUAUAUUUGGAGUCGUUACUACGAAUGAUAGCAAGUAGUGACCUCUUUUUUUACAUUAGAUGUCCCCUGUGCAGUUUGAUUCCUGAGAUGCAAAUAGUAGGCUAUUGACAUGGCUGUGAAUAUAAAAUUGACUUUUUUCAGAUUUUAAAGUGCAACGUGGGCUGCUUCUUUAUAUGCACAUCUUAAUGCUUGGACCUAUAGUGACUACAUAGCUUGUAUUCAUUUCAUAAAUG